Molecule: ribosomal RNA, 1294 nt
Filed under: Hyloscirtus jahni
Lineage: Eukaryota; Metazoa; Chordata; Amphibia; Anura; Hylidae
Description: partial 16S ribosomal RNA
Rfam family: Bacterial large subunit ribosomal RNA
Source: RNAcentral
GCUAAAAAUCUAGCCCUACAAAAACCUUACACACACCAACCACUCACAUUAUAAAUUGAAACAUCUUUGCACUAUAGUAUAGGAGAUAGAAAUAUUAAUCGGAGCUAUAAAAAUAGUACCGCAAGGGAAAAAUGAAAUAAAAAUGAAAUAAACUAAAGCACAAAAAAAUAAAGUUUAACCCUUGUACCUUCUGCAUUAUGGUUUAACUAGUCUUAAUCAAGCAAAAAGAAUUUAAGUUUGACCUCCCGAAACUAGACGAGCUACUUCAAGACAGCUUAAUGAGCAAACCCGUCUCUGUCGCAAAAGAGUGGGAAGAUCUUCAAGUAGAGGUGACAAACCAAACGAGCCUAGUGAUAGCUGGUUACCCAAUAAAAGGAUAUUAGUCCUACCUAAAAUUAAACUAACGUCAACAAACAAAACCACAUAUUUUAGGGGCAUUCAAAUAAGGUACAGCUUGUUUGAAACAGGAUACAACCUACAUCAACGGGUAAUUUUAAUAUUAACAUUUAAGUAGGCCUAAAAGCAGCCAUCUAUUUAAAAGCGUCAAAGCUUUAAUGUAAUUAAAUCAAAUCUCAUCAUUAAUUAAAAACCCUUACCCCCUACUGGGUGAUUCUAUAACAAUAUAGAACUCAUUAUGUUAAAACUAGUAACUAGAAGCCACACUUCUCUUAAAUGCAAGCAUAUGUCAGAUCGGAUAAACCACUGAUCAUUAACAUAUUUGAAACAUAAACAGUCACAACACUAGAAAACCCUUUUUAUUCACAUGUUAACCUAACACAAGAGCAUUUCAAGAAAGAUUUAAAGAAAAAGAAGGAACUCGGCAAACAUCAACCUCGCCUGUUUACCAAAAACAUCGCCUUUUGUUAAUACAUAAAAGGUCCAGCCUGCCCAGUGACCUAGUUCAACGGCCGCGGUAUCCUAACCGUGCGAAGGUAGCGUAAUCACUUGUUCUCUAAAUAAGGACUAGUAUGAAUGGCAUCACGAGGGUUUUACUGUCUCCUUUUUCUAAUCAGUGAAACUAAUCUCCCCGUGAAGAAGCGGGGAUUGAAAUAUAAGACGAAAAGACCCUUUGGAGCUUUAAACAAACUAACAAUUGUUACUAAUUACAAAUUUCAGAAGAUUAAAUAAGUAUACCACAAUGAUUACAAGUUUUUGGUUGGGGUGACCACGGAGUAAAAAACAACCUCCGAGCAGAACGAAGUUUCUUCUGAGCUAAAACCCACGACUUUACGCACCAAUAAAUUGACUUCUAUUGACCCAAUAUAUUGAUCAACGAACCAAGUUACCCUAGGGA